GAAGGUAUAGCUCAGUGGUAGAGUGCCUGCUUAGCAUGCAUGAGGUCCUGGGUUCAAUCCCUAGUACCUCCA
RNAcentral lists this transfer RNA (72 nucleotides) under Camelus bactrianus (Bactrian camel). It matches the Rfam family "tRNA". From Rfam's summary of the family: Transfer RNA (tRNA) molecules are approximately 80 nucleotides in length. Their secondary structure includes four short double-helical elements and three loops (D, anti-codon, and T loops). Further hydrogen bonds mediate the characteristic L-shaped molecular structure. tRNAs have two regions of fundamental functional importance: the anti-codon, which is responsible for specific mRNA codon recognition, and the 3' end, to which the tRNAs corresponding amino acid is attached (by aminoacyl-tRNA synthetases). tRNAs cope with the degeneracy of the genetic code in two manners: having more than one tRNA (with a specific anti-codon) for a particular amino acid; and 'wobble' base-pairing, i.e. permitting non-standard base-pairing at the 3rd anti-codon position. The record is from Rfam by way of RNAcentral. Lineage: Eukaryota; Metazoa; Chordata; Mammalia; Artiodactyla; Camelidae. RNAcentral also lists the same sequence under 3 other names.